This is a small nuclear RNA of Zalophus californianus (California sea lion), 106 nucleotides long. NCBI's taxonomy places the organism in Eukaryota, Metazoa, Chordata, Mammalia, Carnivora, Otariidae. The record is from Ensembl.
GUGCUCACUUGGCAACACAUAUACUAAAAUUGGAAUGAUACAGAGAAAAUUAGCAUGGACUCUGCACAAGGAUAAAAUGCAGAGUCAUAAAGUGUUCCAUAUUUUG